This is a long non-coding RNA of Daphnia magna, 1127 nucleotides long. RefSeq lists it as uncharacterized. NCBI's taxonomy places the organism in Eukaryota, Metazoa, Arthropoda, Branchiopoda, Diplostraca, Daphniidae. The record is from RefSeq and is a predicted model, not a curated record. The transcript is spliced from 3 exons.
CCCGUAUAAGACUAAAAUGGUUUGGGUUCUAUAAUUUGUAGGAAUAAUUUUUAAUCAUUUUAUCCCCAGAAGCGGGCCCUGUUACUAUGGGUAAGUUAACAGGUUACGGGACUUAUGACGUGACUGAAAAAAACAUCCAAGGUGACAGUUGAAAGUGCCAUAAUCCGUUCAACUACGAAUGCUGCAAUCACUGAAAAAACAGCUAAAGUCAUAGUUCAGAGUCCUAUUAUCAGUGCAACUGGUAGUAUUAAUAGUCGUGCAGACCACCGGAACCCAAACUCUUCAAAAGAGCCUUUGCCCAAGUUACCUUCCGUUAAAAAAGUGGGCCUUGUUCCUAGGAGUAUGUUAACAGGUGACAGGACUUGUGACGUGACUGAAAAAACAUCCAAGGUGACAGUUGAAAGUGCCGCAAUACGUGCAACUGCGAAUGUUGCAAUCACUGAAAAUAUAGCUAAAGUCAUAGUUCAGAAUACAAUUAUCAGUGCAAUUACAAGUGUUGCAAGCCGUGCAGUCAACAGGAGCCCUAACACAUCACAAGAUCCUUCGCCUUCCGUUCGAAGUCCAAAAUCGGGCCCUCUUCCUAGAUGUAUGUUAACAGGUAACGGGACUUGUGACAUAACUGAAAAAACAUCCAAGGUGACCGUUGAAAAUUCUAUAAUCCGAGCAAUUGCGAAUGUUGCAAUCCCUGAAAAACAGCUCAAGUCAUAGUUCAGAAUCUUAUUAUCAGUGCAGCUGGAAGUGUUACGAGUCUUUCAGACCACCGGAGCCCUAAUACAUCACAAGAGCCUCCGCCCAAGUUAUCUUCUGUUUGGGCAAAACAGCCUUCGCUGUCACUGCCCAUUCAAGGACAUCCAGCAGAAUUUAUCACAGCAAUGACAAGUUUUUCCAUUAAAUGGAAUAUUUUUUAUACAAUGGUGGCCCUCUUCUCUUCAUCACUUUCAUUUGUCAACAGUGAUACUCUGCACUUUUCCUCCACACAAUCAUGACAAGUGACAGAUACUGCUGCACACAAUGGCAAGGGAAAAAUUAAUGGAAGGUUUACAUUUUAAAUACAAUUUAUAAAUUGGAGUAGCCUUCAUUUAUUUGGUUCAUAAAAUGUUUACCUUGGUUCAACACAACAACUGUGC